RNAcentral lists this ribosomal RNA (445 nucleotides) under uncultured bacterium. RNAcentral describes it as "bacterial SSU rRNA". It matches the Rfam family "Bacterial small subunit ribosomal RNA", at positions 330 to 792 of the family's 1533-position model. The record is from RNAcentral.
GCCAGACUCCUACGGGAGGCAGCAGUGGGGAAUAUUGCACAAUGGGGGAAACCCUGAUGCAGCGACGCCGCGUGAGUGAAGAAGUAUUUCGGUAUGUAAAGCUCUAUCAGCAGGGAAGAUAAUGACGGUACCUGACUAAGAAGCCCCGGCUAACUACGUGCCAGCAGCCGCGGUAAUACGUAGGGGGCAAGCGUUAUCCGGAUUUACUGGGUGUAAAGGGUGCGCAGGUGGCAGGGCAAGUCAGAUGUGAAAGCCCGGGGCUCAACCCCGGUAUUGCAUUUGAAACUGUCCGGCUAGAGUGCAGGAGAGGUAAGCGGAAUUCCUAGUGUAGCGGUGAAAUGCGUAGAUAUUAGGAGGAACACCAGUGGCGAAGGCGGCUUACUGGACUGUAACUGACACUGAGGCGCGAAAGCGUGGGUAGCGAACGGGAUUAGAUACCCCUGUA